AUUUUGGAUGCUUAUGAAAUUGUCUUGAGCUUUUUAGUUUUAUGGUUUUUUCAAGAAUUUUGUACUAUCAUUUGCAUCUUUUCUCAGUUUAUCACCAUCAUUUUCAUCCUUUUCCACAUUAUUGCAUUCUUUUAACCUUCAUGGUUAGCAAAGAAGAGAUGGGAUUCCACAGAACAUUCUAAAAUGGUGUCUUCCAACUUUUUGUGUAGAAUAAUAUAUGAUACAUAACAUUCUACAGUAUUUAUUUUAAAUCUAAUUUUCUUCCGGAGGUAAAUAAGUUAAAAAAACUGCACUUGUUUAAUGACAUAGAAGCAUUUUAAGGUAAAAGUAAAACCACUCUGAUUUGAAUGAUUAUGCUGUAUUAUCCAUUGAAAGACUUGGUGUGGUGUUGUGAUUGUCUUAUCUUCCUCAGGUAUUAUAUAAAAGAUUUUGUACAGAGGUUUAGAGUAAUUAAAAAUACAUUUUGCAAUCAAAUAGUGGGAUGAGAAGUAUAAUGAUCAUGCUAUGAUAGGGCAGAUGGUGUUUAUUGGUUUUUAGGGAAGAAUGCGCUGCAAGAAAGUGUAUGAAGAGAUUCAUAUAUAUGUUCAAAUUUUAAGAUAAGCCCAAGAUUAUACAUCAAGAGUAGAGUAGCAAGAGGAAUGAAGAGAUUUAACAGAUUAUUGCAAGUGAGGACAAAUAUGCUUUUGGACAUGUCUCGUGAGAGGAAGAGUGUUUUAAGUUCUGAUUCUAUGAUUUUAUAGAAGACAGGGACAAUGAGGAGGAAACAAGGCACCUGUGUUAUUGCAAUUUCAAAGGUGUCAAAUGCAUAUGGACCAAGCAACAGAGUUGGGCUUCUUCUAUGAUUUCCGAAAGGAUUUCUUUAGUUGAUUGUGAUGCUUAAUUCAACUGCGUAAGUAUAUCUUUCCCAAGGUACAACUUAAGUAUUCUCUAUGCUAUGGGGCAACCUUUUAAUUGUUUAAUUUUGCUAGGAAGGUCAUUCAUAUUUUCAUGUGUGGGUUGUGUGUAUGUGAGACAAUGACAAGUAUUCAUUUUUCUUUGGGAUGUAGUUAUCCAGAAAGAUAUUUUAUUUUGGUCUGCAAAUUGUUGAAUAGCAAUUGCUAUCAUAUAUUUUGGCUUUGUUAAACUUGGAACCCAUUACUACAUUUCAAUCAAGUUCCCCUUCCUCUCUUCUAAGAUUUUGAUAAGCUUCUUUGCUAGCAAAUAAGUUCUGAAUCGUAUUGCAAUUUGUAUAUGAGAUAAAUUAUUACAUAUUCAUUUGACUUCUUAAAUAUCAGAUAUUCUUACUUCUUAUAUCUACACAGGCAGAGCUAGAAAGAGUUGCUAAAAUCACUCUCAAAUGUUAAUGGAGCUUAUGAAUUGAUGCUUUUGCACUACAUUGCACAUGGGAUUCUAAUUUGCUUAUUCAUUUAUUAGGUGGUCAAGUUCUUGGUAGAACAUAAUAGUAGUAAUAUACUUUAUGGUCAAGUUACUAUUGGAACACUCAUCUUACAUGUAUUUUUCUGUCCCGUCUUUCCAACUAUGGACCAUUUAUACUCCGAAAUAGCAUUUAAUUUGUUGA
Long non-coding RNA from Cucumis sativus (cucumber), 1558 nucleotides. RefSeq lists it as uncharacterized. The record is from RefSeq and is a predicted model, not a curated record. The transcript is spliced from 2 exons. Lineage: Eukaryota; Viridiplantae; Streptophyta; Magnoliopsida; Cucurbitales; Cucurbitaceae.